AUGGAACGCUGGCCGGCAGGCCUCUAACACAUGUCAAGUCCGGGGGAGGAGGAUAUGCUCGUAUUUCUUGAAUCCCGGAGACGGCGGACGGGUGAGUAAUGCAUUAGGAAUGCUGCCUAUUAGUGGGGGACAACAUUCCGAAAGGAAUGCUAAUACCGCAUACGCCCUACGGGGGAAAGCAGGGGAUCUUCGGACCUUGCGCUAUUAGAUGAGCCUAUGUCUGAUUAGCUAGUUGGUGAGGUAAAGGCCUACCAAGGCGACGAUCUGUAGCGGGUCUGAGAGGAUGAUCCGCCACACUGGGACUGAGACACGGCCCAGACUCCUACGGGAGGCAGCAUUGGGGAAUAUUGGACAAUGGGGGGAACCCUGAUCCACCCUUGCCGCGUGUGUAAAAAAGGCCUUUUGUUUGUAAAGCACUUUAAGCGAGGACGAAGCUACCGAGACUAAUACUCUUGGAUAGUGGACGUUACUCCCAAAAUAAGCACCGGCUAACUCUGUGCCAGCAGCCGCGGUAAUACAGAGGGUGCGAGCGUUAAUCGGAUUUACUGGGCGUAAAGCGUGCGUAGGCGGCUUUUUAAGUCGGAUGUGAAAUCCCCGAGCUUAACUUGGGAAUUGCAUUCGAUACUGGGAAGCUAGAGUAUGGGAGAGGAUGGUAGAAUUCCAGGUGUAGCGGUGAAAUGCGUAGAGAUCUGGAGGAAUACCGAUGGCGAAGGCAGCCAUCUGGCCUAAUACUGACGCUGAGGUACGAAAGCAUGGGGAGCAAACAGGAU
RNAcentral lists this ribosomal RNA (770 nucleotides) under bacterium UASWS0080. RNAcentral's name for it is "bacterial SSU rRNA". It matches the Rfam family "Bacterial small subunit ribosomal RNA", at positions 28 to 778 of the family's 1533-position model. The record is from RNAcentral.